GCGCCCAUAGUUUAAUGGAUAGAACAGUGGCUUGCGGAGCCACUAAUCUAGGUUCGAUUCCUAGUGGGCGCA
This 72-nucleotide transfer RNA is filed under the name Patescibacteria group bacterium. Its description in RNAcentral is "tRNA-Arg". It matches the Rfam family "tRNA". From Rfam's summary of the family: Transfer RNA (tRNA) molecules are approximately 80 nucleotides in length. Their secondary structure includes four short double-helical elements and three loops (D, anti-codon, and T loops). The record is from RNAcentral.